Molecule: long non-coding RNA, 246 nt
Filed under: Elaeis guineensis (African oil palm)
Lineage: Eukaryota; Viridiplantae; Streptophyta; Magnoliopsida; Arecales; Arecaceae
Description: long non-coding RNA (EGUI_LNC044096)
Source: RNAcentral
CCAGACGGACUUUAUAGGUCUCCACCUUCUCAUCUGCGCCCCUCUUCCUUUUAAAAAUCUACUUACACCCUAUGAAUUUUAUCUCUUCAGGUGAGUCAACCAAUGUCCAUAUAUUGUUGACUUUUAUAAACUCCAUUUUGGAUUUCAUGGCUUCCAGCUAUAUAUCAGAGUUAGACCUCUGCAUCGCAUCCAUAUAGGUGAUCGGAUCCUCAUUGCUUUCAUCUAGUUCAACUGGAUCCCCAUCUC